This 524-nucleotide ribosomal RNA is filed under the name uncultured bacterium. RNAcentral describes it as "partial 16S ribosomal RNA". It matches the Rfam family "Bacterial small subunit ribosomal RNA", at positions 28 to 523 of the family's 1533-position model. The record is from RNAcentral.
GACGAACGCUGGCGGCGUGCCUAAUACAUGCAAGUCGAACGAAGCUGUUUUAACUGGUGCUUGCAUCGACUUAAACAACUGAGUGGCGAACGGGUGAGUAACACGUGGGUAACCUGCCCCAAAGCGGGGGAUAACAUUUGGAAACAGAUGCUAAUACCGCAUAACCACAGAAACCACAUGGUUUCUGUGUCAAAGAUGGUUUCGGCUAUCACUUUGGGAUGGACCCGCGGCGUAUUAGCUAGUUGGUAAGGUAAUGGCUUACCAAGGCAAUUAUACGUAGCCGAACAGAGAGGUUGAUCGGCCACAUUGGGACUGAGACACGGCCCAAACUCCUACGGGAGGCAGCAGUAGGGAAUCUUCCACAAUGGACGAAAGUCUGAUGGAGCAACGCCGCGUGAGUGAAGAAGGUUUUCGGAUCGUAAAACUCUGUUGUCAGAGAAGAACGUGUGCGAGAGUAACUGUUCGUGCAGUGACGGUAUCUGGCCAGAAAGCCACGGCUAACUACGUGCCAGCAGCCGCGGUAA